Molecule: small nucleolar RNA, 138 nt
Organism: Tachyglossus aculeatus (Australian echidna)
Lineage: Eukaryota; Metazoa; Chordata; Mammalia; Monotremata; Tachyglossidae
Source: RefSeq, a predicted model, not a curated record
CUCCUCUUAGGAUUGCACCUGGAGAGUUUCCAGUACUUCACCAGUCUUGGCUACAGGAAGGAGAGUGAAGCAGAGGCAUAUCCAUUCCAUUCCUAGCUUGGGCAGUGGCUAGAGAGUGGAAGACAAUCUGCUAAAAAU